RNAcentral lists this ribosomal RNA (536 nucleotides) under uncultured bacterium. Its description in RNAcentral is "bacterial SSU rRNA". It matches the Rfam family "Bacterial small subunit ribosomal RNA", at positions 777 to 1304 of the family's 1533-position model. The record is from RNAcentral.
AAUAGAUACCCUGGUAGUCCACGCCGUAAACGGUGGGCACUAGGUGUGGGCAACAUUCCACGUUGUCCGUGCCGCAGCUAACGCAUUAAGUGCCCCGCCUGGGGAGUACGGCCGCAAGGCUAAAACUCAAAGGAAUUGACGGGGGCCCGCACAAGCGGCGGAGCAUGUGGCUUAAUUCGACGCAACGCGAAGAACCUUACCAAGGCUUGACAUACACCGGAAACGUCUGGAGACAGGCGCCCCCUUGUGGUCGGUGUACAGGUGGUGCAUGGCUGUCGUCAGCUCGUGUCGUGAGAUGCUGGGUUAAGUCCCGCAACGAGCGCAACCCUUGUCCCGUGUUGCCAGCAGGCCCUUGUGGUGCUGGGGACUCACGGGAGACCGCCGGGGUCAACUCGGAGGAAGGUGGGGACGACGUCAAGUCAUCAUGCCCCGUUAUGUCUUGGGCUGCACACGUGCUACAAUGGCCGGUACAAAGAGCUGCGAUACCGUGAGGUGGAGCGAAUCUCAAAAACGCCGGUCUCAGUUCGGAUUGGGGU